AGGGCACACGGUGGAUGCCUUGGCACAGAAAGUCGAUGAAGGACGUGACAAGCUGCGAUAAGCUACGGUGAGCUGCACAUAAGCUUUGACCCGUAGAUUUCCGAAUGGGGGAACCCAACUGAGGUCAUGCUCAGUUACUCUUGCCUGAACACAUAGGGCACUGAGAGGCAACCUGGGGAACUGAAACAUCUAAGUACCCAGAGGAAAAGAAAUCAACCGAGAUUGCGCUAGUAGCGGCGAGCGAACGCGCAAGAGCCUAAACCCAUGUAUGUGUAAGCAUUAGGGCGUUGCUGCAUGAGGUGUUGUGGGGCUAUCUCUUCUCUUAACCUAAUGUAUGAGACAUAGUUACAAAGUGUUGUUAUAGCAAAAUGAUUUGGAAAAGUCAGCCAGAGCGGGUAAAAGCCCCGUAUGUUAAAUAGCAGCACCUAUGAAGAUAGUUCCCGAGUAAUGCCGAACACGUGAAAUUCGGUAUGAAUCUAGGGAGACCACUCUCUAAGGCUAAAUACUCUUCUGUGACCGAUAGCGAACCAGUACCGUGAGGGAAAGGUGAAAAGUACCCCGAGAGGGGAGUGAAAUAGUACCUGAAACCGUGUGCCUACAAGCAGUUGGAGCCUCCUUGCGAGGUGACAGCGUGCCUUUUGUAGAAUGAGCCAGCGAGUUACGGUGUGCGGCAAGGUUAAGUUUUUAAACGAGCCGUAGUGAAAGCGAGCCUUUAAGAUGGCGUGUUAGUCGUAUGCCGUAGACGCGAAGCCGGGUGAUCUAUCCAUGGGCAGGCUGAAGCAGAGGUAAGACUCUGUGGAGGGCCGAACCCACUUCGGUUGAAAACGGAGGGGAUGACCUGUGGAUAGGGGUGAAAGGCCAAUCAAACCCGGAGAUAUCUCGUUCUCCCCGAAAUAGCUUUAGGGCUAGCCUCGAUCGCUUACCGACGGUGGUAGAGCACUGGAUCCGUGCGGGGGCCUCACCGCCUACCAACCGAAACCAAACUCCGAAUGCCGUCGGUCCCGAGAUCGGGAGUCAGAACAUGUGGGCUAAGCCGUGUGUUCGAGAGGGAAACAGCCCAGACCGCCUGCUAAGGUCCCCAAAUCAACGCUGAGUGGCAAAGGAUGUGCGUUUGCCUAGACAACCAGGAUGUUGGCUUAGAAGCAGCCAUGCAUUUAAAGAGUGCGUAACAGCUCACUGGUCAAGUGGACAUGCGCCGACAAUACACGGGGCUAAGCGUUGUACCGAAGCAGCGGACUGUUUUAUCAGUGGUAGGGGAGCUUUCCAUGCCGGGGCGAAGCCGACGGGCGACCGUCGGUGGACCGCAUGGAAGUGAGAAUGCUGGCAUGAGUAACGAGAGAGGGGCGAGAAACCCCUCCGCCGUAAGCCUAAGGGUUCCUGGGCAAGGCUAAUCCCCCCAGGGUCAGUCGGGAGCUAAGGCGAGGCCGACAGGCGUAGCCGAUGCACAACAGGCGGACAUUCCUGUACCACCGCGGAGCGUUACUACGACGGGGUGACGGAGAAGGGUAGCCGGGCGGGGUUCUGGACGUCCCCGUGAAAGCGCGUAGGCCGCAGGGCAGGCAAAUCCGCCCUGCAGCGAGGCCGAGACGUUAGACGAAGCUUCAUGUGAAGCCGGCGAGCCCAUGCUUCCGAGAAAAACCUCUAAGGAGCGAGGCGGUGCCCGUACCAAAACCGACACAGGUAGGCGGGUAGAGCAUACCAAGGCGAUCGGGAGAACCAUGGUUAAGGAACUCGGCAUACUGACUCCGUAACUUCGGGAGAAGGAGUGCCCCCGCCUGUGAGGUCCCACGCGGACGGAGCGGGAGGGGGUCGCAGCGAAACGGCCCAAGCGACUGUUUACCAAAAACACAGGACUCUGCAAAGCCGCAAGGCGACGUAUAGGGUCUGACGCCUGCCCGGUGCUGGAAGGUUACGCGGAUGAGUUAGCGCAAGCGAAGCCCUGAAGCCAAGCCCCAGUAAACGGCGGCCGUAACUAUAACGGUCCUAAGGUAGCGAAAUUCCUUGUCGGGUAAGUUCCGACCUGCACGAAUGGCGUAACGACUUGGGCGCUGUCUCAACCAUGGACCCGGUGAAAUUGUAUUAUUCGUGAAGAUGCGAAUUACCUGCGGAAGGACGGAAAGACCCCGUGAACCUUUACUGCAGCUUGGCAUUGGCUGUUGGUGCGGUGCGUAGAGGAUAGGCAGGAGCCUGCGAACCGGGAACGCCAGUUCCCGGGGAGGCGCCCUUGGAAUACUGCCCUCACCGCAUCGGCAGCCUAACGCGCCGCCCUCAUCGGGGGCGCGGACCGUGCCAGGUGGGUAGUUUGACUGGGGCGGUCGCCUCCUAAACUGUAACGGAGGCGUGCGAAGGUUCGCUCAGGGCGGUUGGCAAUCGCCCGCAGAGCACAAGAGUACAAGCGAGCCUGACUGCGAGACCAACAAGUCGAGCAGAGACGAAAGUCGGUUCUAGUGAUCCGGCGGCCCAGCGUGGAAUGGCCGUCGCUCAACGGAUAAAAGGUACUCCGGGGAUAACAGGCUGAUCUUGC
This 2524-nucleotide ribosomal RNA is filed under the name human gut metagenome. RNAcentral describes it as "bacterial LSU rRNA". It matches the Rfam family "Bacterial large subunit ribosomal RNA", at positions 14 to 2491 of the family's 2925-position model. The record is from RNAcentral.